AUCCGCCCGAGGCGCUCUGUGGGGGCGGCCUCGACCUCCCCGCCGUUCCUCCCCGCGGAGCACCAGACCCGGGGCCGACGGCCGCGGGGCGGACAGCUUCUCUCUCGGGGCCGGGAUGCGCUGAGCACCUCGGUCCAACCUGUUUUUCCGGGGUGGUGACCUCGACGCGAAGGACCGGGCGAGCUGCUGCCUCCCGGGGGAUACCAGCCCCCGGCGCUCGUUCAAGGAGGGAGGAAGGAAGGGCUCCCAUCGUGUUUGCGCAGGAGUGAGUUUUAUUUGCUGCAUCUGCGGGCGGGCGGGGCCGGCGGCCCCAAGGUCAGCCGAGGCCGGAGUGCGCGGCUCGCGGCGAGGCCGGUCCCGCCGCCGCCGCCGACUCCCAGCCCGGGCCAGUCACGGCCGGCGCCGGCUCGCGGGCAGCCCAGUAGCGCGGCCUGGCUGAAGAAGACAUCCCUGGCCGCGCAGGCCCCGCGCCCCUCACACCCGCCCGGCCCGCUCCCAGAUACCUUCUUCAGCUCGUUCUCGCUGGCGCCGGGCGGGACGCCCAGGAUGUCGUACAGCUUCGUGUCAGCCACGUUAGCCAUGGCGGCCGGCCGGGCAGUGCUCGGGGAGAAGGUGGCGAAGCAGACAGAGCGGAGUCGGGCCCACAAGCGGCGUCGGCGGCGGCACAGGCCGAGGGAGACAGCGAGGGGGAAGCGGGGGCGGGGCUGAACUUUGACCCAGCGCACGGUGCGCCGUGACGUCGCUGUGCAGAGCCCGCCCCCGAGCGCCCGAGGCGCGGCCACUGGGGUCGAAGUAUUGAAGAGUGGGCCAGGUUCUCUGUUUUCCUCCAGGUCCAGGCGGCUGGGCAGGGCCAACGUAGGAAAUGAAGAACUGUGCACGGCGCACCCCAGGAAUUCAGCUUCCUCUCAAAAGCCAUGGUUGCGAGGUCGCGUGUUUAACCUCGCACUGGCUGCUGAGGGAAUUAACAGGCCUGCGCAGCAGCUUCGUUAGCUUCGAAAGAAAAUGGGCCCCGGCUCCCGCAGGAGGCCCGCCUGGCGCGCAGAUGUCGUUAUUAGAAUCCGGGACGUCGGUGGACCCUCUGGGUCUGGCUCCCUCGGGGCUUACGAUGAAAAAAACUGGGGGGCGCGUGUGUGUGUAUGUUGUGUUUUAUAUUAUGAGAAUUCUGAAACAUUUAGCAGAAGCAGUAUAUUACUCCCCAUAGUGCAGUUAGCUACCUUUUACCUGUUUCAUUGGCUCCACCAUACAUUUCUAGUGUUUUAAGGGAAACCGUUUCAUUCAUAAAUACCCUAAGUGUAUAUAUUUAAUAUCUAAGAGACAACUUUUAAAGGCAUAACGAUGUAAUCUCAUCUAAUGAAAUUAACAAUUCCUUAAUCUAAUUCCCAGUCCAUAUUUAGGUUUUUCAGAUGAUCUCAUGUCCUUUUACAAUUGGUUUGUGGCAUCCGGGUCCAAACCAAGGUCCACAUGUUGCAUCUGGACCACGUGUUUAAGCCUCUUACUUGAUAGCUUUAAAAUUAGCUAACACCAGAGGUUUAGAUGGUGUAAGGCAAGUCUGGCCACCAGGUGACUUGAUUUACAUUCGUUUUAGUUUCGCUCAGAAAGUAUGCUGUGCAUCUACCAAGUGCUAUGAUGUACAGAGGCCUGGUCCGGGGAGAGGAGUGUUACAAAAGUGCCUGCCUUCAACCCAUUUACGGUUUAUGGAGACAGAAAAGUAAGGUUUUCUGAUCCCUUGGAACCUGAACUGAUAGCAAAGACUUCAGCAUAAGCAUCUCACUCAGGAUAAUGUUUCUUCCUUGGCGUUCCCUUUGACCUAGUUGUGGAGGGCCUGAAUUCCAUGACAAGGACUCUGAAAUUUAGCUUGAAAACCCUAAGAGUAAUCAGUGAUAAGUCAUUAAUAGUCCUUAAACCCUUUUCCUCAAAUCCCAUCUGAAAUCCUGCUCCCUCUGUGAAGUCUUCCUUUACUGGGCACUGGUGAACACUGCUAUCUCAUUCGAGUUCCCACCACCCUUCGUUUGUACCUUUUGUGGUAGGAUCUCGAACUCUUUUGUUUUUUUUUUUUUUUUUUUUUUUUUACUUGAAACAGCGUCUCGUUAUGUCGCUCAGGCUGGAGUGCAGUGGCGCCAUCUCAGCUCGCUGCAACCUCCACCUCCCGGCUUCAAGUGAUUCUCCCACCUCAGCCUCUCGAGUAGCUGGGAUUACAGGCGCCCACCACCAUGCCCGGCUAAUUUUUGUAUUUUUAGUAGAGGUGGAGCUUCACCAUGUUGACCAGGCUGGUCUCGAACUCCUGAUCUCAAAUCAUCCACCCACCUUGGCCUCCCAAAGUGCUGGGAUUGCAGGCCUGAGCCACUGCCUCUGCCAACCGCCAUUGCCGUGUAAAUGCUGACGUCAUCCUCAUGCACGGCUGUAAAAUCCAAUUCUCUACUUUUCACAUUUUGAGAUGUUCGUAAGAGACGGUGUAAAGUUAUGGCGAGGUUAGACUGUGUAGGUUGGUAGUCUGACUCUGCCAUUUAGGAACAAUGUGACCUUCAGCAAGUUACUUAACUUUUCUGAGGUUUCCUCAGGUGUAAGAUGGGGCUUGUUAUUUUUUAUAUCAUUGGUUUAAAAGAGUUAUACAUUUCUAUUACUUAGGGCUGGGCGCAGUGGCCUGUAAUCCCAGAACUUUGGGAGGCUGAGGCGGGAUCACUCCUGCCUCAAGUCCUGAUCACUUGAGGUCAGGAGUUCGAGACCAGCCUGGUCAACAUGGCAAGACCCCGUCUCUAUUAAAAACACAAAAAUUAGCUGGGGGUGGUUGCGCACGCCUGUAGUCCCAGCUACUCGGGAGGCUGAGGUGGGAGAAUCCCUUGAGCCCAGGAGGUGGGGGUUGCAGUGAGCCAAGAUCACACCACUGCACUCCAGCCUGGGUGACAGAGUGAGACCCUGUCUCAAAAUAAUAAUAAAUAAUUAAAAUUUAAAAAAUUACUAAGAAGCUAAAAGAAAUUAAGUAUAAACUAUUGUUCUUGGCCCAUAUGCUUACGUUGUCUUUGCUCAUUUAAAUUUCUGGCUUUUCUACUGGGAUUCCCUGACUUCUUCCAUUACCUAUGGGGAAUGCCCCUCCGUCCCUUUUCAUGACCUCAUCUUCCCAAAUCUCCUUGCUUGUCAGUUAUCAUUUUCUCUCGUCUCAUUUCUCUGUUAGUUCCUGCUCCACGUAAGAAUAUGAACUGAAAAUCUGUCUUUGUUGCAACCUUCAUAUUAAUUUAUCUUAUUUGUUUCAUAUUGUUUUAUCUUAUUUUCCUUCUGCCCAUGAACAGUUUAAAAGGGCUGGAGUUUCCUAUUUGUUUCAGUUUUACUCAGUUUUUUUUUUUGCAAGAGGAAAAAAUUCUCUCUUGAUGCCAUUUUAGCUUCUGAUAUUGUAAUGAAGAGUAGCUGGGUAAAUUCCCUCUUUUGUUCUUGUUAUUUUAUUUUAGUUUUUUACCUGACUAGACCAGUAACCACAGUAACUAUUUUUGAAUUUCAUUUUCAUUUCUUUGCAAUAUUUUCUCCAUUUCUGGGUAUUAAUUGUAGUCAGCAUAAUUUGCUAAUUUUAUAGCUCGAGUUAUUUCAGAAGAACUUUGUGUGCUUAAACUGACACAGGGUCUCCUCCCAAGGAUCACAGACUGAGAUAAACCUGUGUCAGUGUGAGCACUGUAAUGUUCCAGCCACUAACUGUUUUGAGGUAGCAUAUUUAUUUUGGCUUCAUGUUUAGCCAAUGCUGUGAAGGGAAAAGGACCUUUAUCUCAUUUCAUGUCUCAGGCACUGUAAAAUGCUGAGUCACAGUACACCUGAGCGCUGCAGUGAUCUAAAGUUUGAGGCGGCAGUGAUUUCAGAUUUCUGCCAGGCUUAUAUUGGUGUUCAAUUCCUUUGCUUUGAUUUAGUAUGCUUGUGUAACUGUGAAGGGUUGGGAUGGAGAGGAGGUGGAUAUGGACUGGGACGGGGGGUAUAGGAACUGUAGUAUUUUUGAAGACCAUUGAUACUGUUCACAAGUAAUUGGGAACUGUGUAAUCCAUUACUUAGACAACUCCAGAUAUAUCAUUGAGGCAGUCAGAAAAUAGUUUUGCUUUCUGCUUUAACUAGGUUUGAAUGUAUAGAGUAAGUGAUGCAGGUUAAAAUAUUUUGGGGGGAUACAGAAGAAGGUACUGAUGGUUCUUGUUAUGAGGGUGUCAGGACCACAUAAUUUGAUGAUUGUUGGUACUCUGGAAAGAAAAAAUUGUGGGACUUGGAUCACUGAAUAAUCUCUGAAUUUCUUUCAGUGCUUAAAGUAGAUUAUUCAGUGAUGGGGCAGCACAGUUGUAUGUGGUAGGUAUUUCUAGCCCCACUGCUGGCCUUUCAAACCCAGUCGUGUCAAACCCUGCCUUAUUAAUUAGCAUUUUCCAAAGGUUCAGUUUGCUUAUAUAAUUGCAGUGGUAUAGUAAGCAGAGAAAUUGACCCAAUAAAUUUAGCCAUCUAACAAUUAGUGUGGGAAAAAUAGUGGAGAAGAUAUGUCUAUUGUGAUAAUAUGAGAUAUGAAUAUGAAUAUAUAUGUUUUCCACAUAUAUGUGUAUAUAUAUACACACACCUCAUUACCACUGUAAUAUAUAUAUAAUAUAUACAUAAUAUACAUAAAGGCCAGGCGUGGUGGCUUAUGCGCGUAAUCCCAGCACUUUGGGAGGCCAAGGUGGGUGGAUCACGAGGUCAGGAGAUCGAGACCAUCCUGGCUAACACGGUGAAACCCCGUCUCUACUAGAAAUACAAAAAAUUAGCCGGGCGUGGUGGUGGGCACCUGUAGUCCCAGCUACUUGGGAGGCUGGGGCAGGAGAAUGGCGUGAACCCGGGAGGCCAAGCUUGCAGUGAGCGGAGAUCGCACCACUGCACUCCAGCUUGGGCAACAGAGCGAGACUCCAUCUCAAAAAAAAAAUUCGAUUAGCCUGGACAACAUAGCAAGACCCGUCUCUACAAAAAUUUUUUAAAAUUAGCUGGGGCUGGGGAGUGGUGGCUCAUACCUGUAAUCCCAGCACUUCAAGAGGCCGAGGUGGUAGGAUAAUUUGAGACCAGCCUGGGCAACAUAGCGAGUUGUUUUUUUUUUUUUUUUUUGAGACGGAAUCUCACUCUGUCACCCAGGCUGGAGUGCAGUGGCACGAUCUUGGCUCACUGCAAUCUCUGCCUCCCAGGUUCAAGUGAUUAUCCUGCCUCAGCCUCCCGAGUAGCUGGAACUACAGGUGUUUGCCACCAUGCUGGGCAAAUUUUUUGUAUUUCUAGUAGAGAUGGGGUUUCACCAUGUUGGCCAGGCUGGUCUCGAACUCCUGACCUCAAGUGAUCUGCCUGCCUCGGCCUCCCAAAGUGCUAAGAUUACAGGUGUGAGCCACUAUGCCCGGCCCGCAAGAUCUUAUCUCUAAAAAAAAGAAGAAAGAAAAAAUUAGCUGGGUGUUGUGCACCUGUCAUCCUAGCUAUUUGAGAGGCUCAGGUGGGAGAAUCACUUGAGCCCGAGAGUUGAAAGUUACAGUGAACUAUGAUUGUGCCACUGCCCUCCAUCCUGGGUGACAGAGUGAGACCCUAUCUUUAAAAAAAUAUAUUUUUAAUUAUGAGAAGAGAAGGAAUUAUCUGACCUAUCUUGUCUGAUUGUAGGUCAUGAGACUUCCAUUUCUGAAGGGGUCCUGUUCCAUAUCCUCAAGAAGGGAGUGCUGCACAGAGAGGCCAUGAGGAAUCUAAGCAGACAGGCCUUGCUGGGUUUCCCCACUCAGUCUGUUAAUAUUAGAUCAUACCUUUUUGUCCAGUCACAUUUUUACAUGGUUGUCAAUUAUGCCUGUCCAGUAAAGUCUCCAUAAAAGGCCCAAGAAGACAGAGUUGGAGUUCCUGGAUAGCUGAACAUGUGGAGGUUCCUGGAGGGUGGGGCACCUGGGCAUAAAAGCUCUGAGCCCCUUCCCUCAUACCUUGCUCUGUGCAUCCCUCCAUCUGUAUCCUUUGUAACAUUCCUUAUAAUAAAUUGGUAAAUGUGUUUCCCAGAGUCCUGUGAGCCACUGUAGCAAAAUUAAUCAAACCCAAGGAAGGGUUCAUGGGAACCCUAAUUUCUAUUCAGCUGGUCAGAGACACAGGUGAAACAACCUGGGGCUUGCUAUUGGUAUCAGAAGUGAGGCGACUGAGCCCUCAACCUGUGGGAUCUGAUGCUACCAAGUAGAUAGUGUCAGAAUUGAGUUGGAGGUCACCUACCUGGUGUCUACUGUAUAAUUGAUUGCUUGCUUGUUGGUGGGGAGAAAUCCCCACAUAUUUGGUCACAGAAGUCUUCUGUGUUAAUUGAGUGCGAGAAUCUGAAUCUGAGUUUUUUUCACUUAUCUAUAGAUUCAUUCAUUCAACAAAUAUGUGUUGUGGACCCUCCUAUGUGGCAGGCACUGUUUGGUAGGAUAGGGGACAGCCAUAAACGAAACAAAAUCGCUGCCUUUACAGAAUGUACAUCUAGUGGGGAAGGCAGGCAGUAAAUAAGUAAAUACAUAGCAUAUCAGAUGGUAUUAUGUGCUGUAGAGAAAACGAGAGUAUUGGGGUUGGGAACAAUUUUUAUUUAAGGUGUUUGAGGAAGGUGACAUUUGAACAGUGAUCUAGAGGAAGCAGGGCCUUGAGGAUAUGUGAGAAAACAAUUGCUGAGGCAGUGGGCCUGCAAAGGCCCUAAGGCAGAGCAUGCCUGGUUUGUUAGAGGAAGGAGGCCAGUAUGACUGGGUAGCAGCAAGGUAGGGAGAUCUUGGAAAGAGCUCACAUCAGAGAGGUUGUCGGGGACUCAAUCAGGUCCACUAUAAAGACUUUGAUGUUUACUCUGAGUGAGCUGGGAAGCUGUUAAAGGGUUUUGGUUUUUUUGUUUUUUGUUUUUUUUUUUUUGAGAUAGAGUCUUGCUCUGUCACCCAGACUGAAGUGCAAUGGCGCCAUCUCCACUCAUUGCACCCUCCACUUCCUGGGCUCAAGUGAUUCUCCAGCCUCAGCCUCUUGAGUAGCUGGGACUAUAGGCAUGUACCACCAAUGCCUGGCUAAUUUUUAUAUUUUUUGUAGAGACAGGGUUUUGCCGUGUUGCCCAGGCUGGUCUCGAAACUCCUAAGCUCAAAGUGAUCCGCCUGCUUCAGCCCCACAAAAUGCUGGGAUUACAUGUGUUAGCCACCACUCCUGGCUAUGCUAUUAAAGGAUUUUGAUUAGAGGAGAGACAUAAGUGCAUUUUAAACACAUCAUUCUGUUAGCUGUGUUGAGAACCUAUUGUAAUAAAACCUAGGUGAGAGGUGACUUGGGCCAAGAUAGAAGAUGUUGAGUUGGUGAGGAAUCGGCUUCUGGAUAUAUUUUCACCUUUGAACUGAUAGAAUUAGAUGUUGGGCAGAAAUGAGGGCAGGGUGAAAAUAAAAGUUCAUGUUAAUUUAUUAACAUUCAAGGAAAUAUUUUUUAAAUUAAAUUUAUUUUUGAGACAAGGUCUCACUGUAUCACUCAGGCUGGAGUACAGUGGCAAGAUCAAAGCUCACUGCAGCCUCAAACUCCUUAGCUCAAGCAGUCCUCCCACCUCAACCUCCUGAGUUGUGUGCCAACUCACACUUGGCUAAUAUUUUUAUUUUUUGUAGAGACAGGGUCUUGCUCUGUUGCCCAGGCUGGUCUCAAACUCGUACGGUUUUUUGUUUUGUUUUUUUUUUUUUUAUGAGACAGAGUUUCGCUCUUGUCGCCCAUGCUGGAGUGGAAUGGUGUGGUCUCGGCUCACUGCAACCUCCACCUCCCGGGCUCAAGCGAUUCUCCUGCCUCAGCCUCCCAAGUAGUGGGGAUUACAGGCACCUGCCACCAUGCCUGGCUGAUUUUUGUAAUUUUUUAGUAGAGAUGGGGUUUCACCAUGUUGGCCAGGCUGGUCUUGAACUCCAGACCUCAGGUGAUUUGCCCACUUCGGCCUCCCAAAGUGCUGGGAUACAGGUGUGAGCCACUGUGCCCGGUCCAAUGUUUUAAUGUAUGUAUAAUAUACAUUGUGGAAUGAUUAUACCAAACUGACAUAUCCAUCACCUUACAUACUUAUUUUUUUUGUAGUGAGAACAUUUAAAAUCUGUUCUUUUAGCAAUUUUAAAAUAUACAAUACAUUAUUGUUGACUACGGUUACCAUGUUGUGCAACAGAUCUUAAAACAUUAUCUUCCUGUCAAACUGAAAGUGUACACUUUGGUCAACAUCUCCUCAUUCCUCCUCUCCUCACAGCCUCUGAUAACCACAACUAUACUUCCAUAAGAUUUUUAGAUCCCAUAUGUAAGCAAGAUCAUGUGGUAUUUGUCUUUCUGUGCCUGGCUUAUUUCACUUAGCAUAAUGUUCUCCAGGUUCAAUUCUUUUGUUACAAAUGACCAAAUUUCCCUCUUUUUUGUCCGGGUGUGGUGGCUCACGCCUGUAAUCCCAGCACUUUGGGAGGCCAAGGAGGCUGAUCACCUGAGGUCAGGAGUUCAAGACCAGCCUGGCCAACACAGUGAAACCCCAUCUCUACUAAAAAUAAAAAAAUUAGGCCGGGUGUAGUGGCUCAGGCUUCUAAACCCAGCACUUUGGGAGGCCGAGGCAUGUGGAUCACCUGAAGUCAGGAGUUUGUGUCCAGCCUGGCCAACACGGUGAAACCUUGUCUCUACUAAAAAUACAAAAAUUAGCUGGGCAUGGUGGCACACUUCUGUAAUCCCAGCUACUCGGGGGGCUGAGGCAGGAGAAUCGCUUGAACCUGGCAGAGGUUGCAGUGAGCCGAGAUUGCGCCACUGCACUCCAGUCUGGGUGACAGAGCAAGACUCCAUCUCAGGAAAAACAAAACAAAACAAAAAAAUUAUCCGGUUGUGGUGGCAUGUGCCUGUAAACCCAGCUACUUGGUAGGCUGAGGCAGGAGAAUCGCUUGACCCUGGGAGACAGAGGUUGCAGUGAGCUGUGAUUGCAUCACUGCGCUCCAGCCUGGGCAACAGAGCAAGACUCCAUCUCAAAAACAAGGCAGAAUUUCCCUCUUAUUAAUAACUGAAUAGUAUUCCAGUGUGUGUGUGUGUGUGUGUGUGUGUGUGUGUGUGUGUGUAUCACAUUUUCUUUUCCAUUCAUCCAUUGAUGGACACUUAGGUUGGUUCCAUGUCUUGGCUAUUCUGAAUAAUGCUUCAGUGAACAUAGGAGUGCAGACAUCUCAUUGACAUACUGAUUUCAGUUCUUUUGGAUAUACACCCAGAAGUGGGAUUACUGGGUCUUAUGGUAGUUCUGUUUUUAGUUUUUUGAGGAACAUCCAUGCUGUUCUCCAUAGUGGCUGUACUAAUUUACAUUCCUACCAACAGUGUGCAAGGGUUUGCUUUUGUCCACAUCCUUGCCAACUCGUUAUUGGAUAAAUAUUAAGCAGUUUGAUUUUUUUUUUCCAUUGCCCUGGCUGGAGUACAAUGGUGCAAUCAUAGCUCACCGCAGCCUCAAACUCCUGGGCUCAAGCAGUCCUCCUACCUCGGCCUCCCAAAGUGUUGGGAUUACAGCCACUGCACUCAGCCAAGCAGCUGGGCUUGUAAGAAUAGAGUUGAAAGGGGCAGGUGUUCAAACUGGAGAUGUAAAUUUGGGAAUCCCCUCAACAUAUUGCCAGUGUAUAAAGAAGUAAGACCUAGGACAGUUCACUGACUGCUCAUCAGAACCCCUAGGGGAACUUUUAAAAAUGCUAUUUUCUGGGUCUGUCCUCCCAGAAAUCGUGACCGAAUUGAUCUGAGGUAAGGUGAGGGCAUUGUAUUUUUUUAAAUAGUCUAAGGUUAUCCUAUAUUUGAACAUUUUUGAAAAAAAAUUUUGCACAUGAAGAACACAUGAUGUUGUUCUGACAUACAGUCUUUAAAAUAUUUAUUUUUUUUUUGAGACGGAGUUUCGCUCUUGCUCAGGCUGGAGUGCAAUGGUACGAUCUCGGCUCACUGCAACCUCUGCCUCCCAGGUUCAAGCAGUUCUCCUGCCUCAGUCUCCCGAGUAGCUGGGAUUACAGGCAUGUGCCACCACGCCCUACUAAUUUUGUGUUUUUAGUAGAGAUGGGGUUUCUCCAUGUUGGUCAUGCUGGUCUCAAACUCCUGACCUCAGGUGAUCCACCCGCCUCGGCCUCCCAAAGUGCUGGGAUUACAGGUGUGAGCCACCGUGCCCUGC
Molecule: long non-coding RNA, 10090 nt
Filed under: Homo sapiens (human)
Lineage: Eukaryota; Metazoa; Chordata; Mammalia; Primates; Hominidae
Description: HSALNT0230417
Source: RNAcentral